Molecule: long non-coding RNA, 470 nt
Organism: Oreochromis niloticus (Nile tilapia)
Lineage: Eukaryota; Metazoa; Chordata; Actinopteri; Cichliformes; Cichlidae
Exons: 4
Source: RefSeq, a predicted model, not a curated record
GCGGAGAGAGGUCAUGGAGUGUCAGCCUAUGGUAUCUGAGGUCCAGGAGAGAUGACCUGCGCUGUUUUCCUCUGAGGAGAUAUCUGAAAAAUUUCAUCCGAUCACAAGCAAAGACCUCCUGGGGACCUUCAAUGCAUCCCUUGACAAAUUUGUGCCUGGCCUGCUGAAACUGUACUGGUCUAAGAAGGGAGCUCUUGGUGAGGAGAUGGAAGACCUCCUGGAUAAACUUGAUGAACAGACAUCCAACAUUGUGUCCAACUUGCACUGAGAGGCCUGCCCAUUUUCCUGAAGAGAAGAUGCAACAGCGGUUUUCCUGAAGUGCUUAGACACUGACAUUUUGGAACCAGUGUUGAACGGUGCAUCAGUUGCCAUCCUCACCAUCCUACAAGAUGCCGAUACGUCUGUGCGAGAACAUGGAGUUGUGUUGGAAGGGGACAUCGUGCUACAUAACAUUCCAGAUCUCUCUACUG